AAACUCAACUCCUAACCUAAAAAUUCAAUUCAUGAGCAUUUUAGAAGAACAAAUAGGAGAAAUUCUCGACAAACAAGGGUUUGUGAAUGGGUUUGUGAAUUGAAUUAUCUUUCUAAAAUUAAGAAGGAGGAUGUAAAAUACUUUCUGAAGAUUGAUAAUAAAAUACUAAAAUUUAUUAUAAGCCAUCUUUCUAAGAUUGACAAUCUAAAAUCAUUAGAAUUUAUCAAUCCAAUAUUCGACACG
This 243-nucleotide long non-coding RNA is filed under the name Elaeis guineensis (African oil palm). RNAcentral describes it as "long non-coding RNA (EGUI_LNC043253)". The record is from RNAcentral. Lineage: Eukaryota; Viridiplantae; Streptophyta; Magnoliopsida; Arecales; Arecaceae.